This 930-nucleotide long non-coding RNA is filed under the name Ricinus communis (castor bean). Its description in RNAcentral is "long non-coding RNA (RCOM_LNC000810)". The record is from RNAcentral. Lineage: Eukaryota; Viridiplantae; Streptophyta; Magnoliopsida; Malpighiales; Euphorbiaceae.
UCAAAUUAAUAUUAUUAAAACCACAAAUCAUCUUAAUAGUUACACUUUACAAAAUUACUUCGGUCUACCAGAAAAAAACUAGGCGAGACCCGAAGCUCAGAAAAUUUACAACUGGUACAUCUACUAUUACUACUGCGGAGAAUCUAAGAUUUACCAAUUUACAUACCAAAUCAAAUACAUCACCCGAUGAUGAAGGAGUCGGGUUAUUGAAUAAGAGUCGCGGGAGAACUAACAGUCACGAAUCUGAAAAAAAUAUAAAUGGAGACUGUCAGUCUCGAGAGUGAGUUAAAAUCAAAUAAUCUAGGGACUAUUGCUUCUUCUCAGAAAAACAUAGAUUAUUCAAAUCAGUAUAACAAACCAUACUAUAAUCAUACCCUAUUAUUUCCUUCACAUAAAAUAUUAAUCAUUCGAAUCAAAAUAUCAACCAUGCACGUAAAUACAAAUCACAUUAUAAUCAAAUACCAUAAUAAAUAAAUAAAUAAAAAUAUAUAUUUACUUUUACGGGACGAGUGGCUCGGUAGAACCCUAAAUCCCAAAUUCUAGUAGCCUUUCGGCUCUCUUAAUCCAACAGGUCUGGCGCCCAGAGAGCAAGCUCGAUCAGGGUCCUUACCUUCAGCCUGAACAUUUGAAUUCCAAAUAAGCCGGCGCCCAGAGAGCAUCGCUCGAUCAGGGACCUUAACUCCGGCAAUCAACUGAACUCAGCCCAGAGAGCAAUGCUCGAUCAGGGCAGACAAAUCCAUAAUAAUCUUAUAUCCAUGAUCAUUACCGGUGCGCACGCGGUCCUGAUGUAACCCAUCAGGCGGCAUGUUCUACAAGCCACAUUUCCCAAAUCGCAAUCACCACAUUUAAUAAAUAUUAUUAUCUAAUGAACUCAUCCAACACAUAUCGAAAUAAAGAUUAAAGAUUUAAGAUAAAACGACGUGCAAUUUG